RNAcentral lists this ribosomal RNA (329 nucleotides) under uncultured Ruminococcus sp. Its description in RNAcentral is "partial 16S ribosomal RNA". The record is from RNAcentral. Lineage: Bacteria; Bacillati; Bacillota; Clostridia; Eubacteriales; Oscillospiraceae.
GGAGUCUGGACCGUUUCUCAGUUCCAAUGUGGCCGUUCAACCUCUCAGUUCGGCUAAUGAUCGUCGGUUUGGUGGGCCGUUGCCCCACCAACUGCCUAAUCAUACGCGAGCCCAUCUGCGAUCGAUAAAUCUUUAACAACAGGGCCAUGUGACCCCGCUGCGUCAUGUGGUAUUAGCACCGGUUUCCCGGUGUUAUCCCUCUAUCGCAGGCAGGUUGCUCACGCGUUACUCACCCGUCCGCCACUAAGCCACCGGAUCUUCCCCCCGAAGGGUUCCGUCCCGGCGCUUCGUUCGACUUGAAUGUGUUAUGCACGCCGCCAGCGUUCAUC